UUUCAUCCAGAGGGUUUGCAGAUAGUGUGUGCCUGAUUCUAUGAUGUCUAGAUUUCGUUGGAUUGGACAUUCACUAUCUGCAAACACCUCUGAUGGAAUUC
Molecule: microRNA precursor, 101 nt
Filed under: Selaginella moellendorffii
Lineage: Eukaryota; Viridiplantae; Streptophyta; Lycopodiopsida; Selaginellales; Selaginellaceae
Description: miR1080 stem-loop (smo-MIR1080)
Source: miRBase by way of RNAcentral